AGAUGAAACCCAGCCUGCUCCUGCUGGGCUUGUAUAAAGCCAGGAAGUUUGGAGCAUACAGUCUACAGCUUUGGUCUGCACAGAGAGAGGAUGAUGGUGAUGACUGGCAAGUGGACAGCAGACAGUUGACUGGGAACCUAGUCCCUGUAGUGGCUGUCGAGCUCUGGACCUUCUACUGCUUCAAGAUGGAGUUAGCAGGAGGAACGCAGAACCUUGCUGAGAUGGAGCAGAUGGGAGAAACAUGAAGACAAAGAAUAGGAAGAAAGUUGCUUUUACUGAUCACAUUAUGAGUGUUUCAGGGGAUAAAAGGCAGCAGUAUUAAGGAAGCAGACUGUCUGUGCACCAAGGGACUGGCACUUGAAAGACUCAUCACACUAUUGCUACAAUAUUGUGCCAAGAAGCUGAGGCUGCAGGGCCAGGAGGACCCUUCAAGUACCAAUGCUAGGCACAAAGAUACUGUCCAUCCUCCUCAGCCAUCUGUUGACCUCCUGCAUACAAGAUCCUCCCCGCUCCCCGCCCCCAAUAGGCCCUGCUCAACAGCUUAUGUCUCCUUGGCUCAUGCUGUCUCUGGGUGCCUCUCAACAUGCCUUCAAGCCAUCAUGCCCCCUGUAACCUCGCCUGCCUCCCUCCCUCACCAAGAGUGUGCUCAGAGCACAGCAGGUGAGUCAAGGAUAAGGCCAACUUGAAAACUUUAAUGGAAAUGAAAAUUUGUGUAAAAAUAACAAACGUAUCCAGACAUGUUUGUUCUUGGUCUGUAUCCAGAUUAUGCAUGAAGUUGGGGCGGGGGGAGAGGGUAGGCUGGGAGCCUCAAAAAAUCAAAACAAAAAAACCCAUCCCCCAUGGAGCUGAGUAGUUCCGUUGGUUAAUCUGAUUUUCACCAAGGUUUUGAUGUAUAAAGGGGAAUAAUGUUUGUUGUACCUAGGGGAUAGGGCACUAGACUGGAACUCCAACUACUUAGGUUCUCUUCCUAACUCUGCUGCAUGAUCGUGGGCAAAUCACUUCACAUUCCUGUGCCUCGGUUUCCUUGUGGAAAAACAUUUUCCUCUUUUGCAAAGGGCUUUGAGAAGUUCAGCACAAAGCUGUUUAUUUUCAUUAUAUACUGAUAGUCUCAAACCAUGCUGCAAGUUCAGUACUUGCUUAAGUGCUUUGCUGAAAAGGGGCCUAAGGUCCUGAUAGCCCAUUAAAGUCAGUGAAAAGACUCCAAUUAAUUUCUGUGGACUCUGGAUCAGGCCCCAAGACUUAACACCUCAUUAAGUCUGGAGUUCCUACUAAAGGCUCAAUAUUACAUCUGUAGACUGCAGUACAUGAAAGAGAUUGGGAACAAAUGUGAAACUAUGUGUGUCAAUAUAUAAACCUGCCUUUCUUCAGUAUGUAUUUAUGUAGAGCUGAUAGAUUAUUGUUCACCUAUGUACAGUGCUUUAAGUGUUCUAGGCACUUUACAGAACAAAUAGAAAGAUGUAUUCUUGGACCUUGAGGCACUUACAGUCUAAUGUUAAAUGUGACACAAUGAGUAGGAUAACAGACAGGGAGGGGUGGAGAGUAGGAAAAGAAUUACUGCAAUAAGAUCGUGUGAUUGCUUAGUUUAGGCAAAUGGACAUCUCAAUAUUUUAAUUACAGGUUUCAUUUUAUGGCUUUUUAAAUAGCUUUGUUCCCAACGGGCAAAAAGAUGACUUACGUGAGUAAGGCAUCGCAGGCUUGUCCCCCUAGAAAAGAAGUGGUGCAGGUCAGGAUUGCAGAGAACUCAACUGCAUGGUGAGUGCCAUUAUUAUUCCUGGAUUUAGUGUGCAUUAUCAGGACUAGUGCUCGUUUCAUUAAAAAUGAAUGGCUACAAAUACCAAACUAUCUGUCACAGAUAACCUUAUCCUAACACACUUCAUAUUAAAACCUGGGUGGAUCGCUCAUAAAAAAGUAAAUAAAGGAUCAAGUGCUGUUAACUUUUUGAAGAAAGCUGCAUUUCAAUAAAUUAACUCCUCUGUUUACUUCUUUGAUCUACUUUUCUAAUCAGUGCUAUUGAUUAUCUACUUUCCCUUCUGAGCAACAAGCAAGAGACUGUG
Molecule: long non-coding RNA, 2054 nt
Organism: Mauremys mutica (yellowpond turtle)
Lineage: Eukaryota; Metazoa; Chordata; Testudines; Geoemydidae
Exons: 4
Source: RefSeq, a predicted model, not a curated record